Molecule: ribosomal RNA, 468 nt
Filed under: uncultured bacterium
Lineage: Bacteria
Description: partial 16S ribosomal RNA
Rfam family: Bacterial small subunit ribosomal RNA
Source: RNAcentral
GACGAACGCUGGCGGCGUGCUUAACACAUGCAAGUCGAACGGAAAGGCCCUGCUUUUGUGGGGUGCUCGAGUGGCGAACGGGUGAGUAACACGUGAGUAACCUGCCCUUGACUUUGGGAUAACUUCAGGAAACUGGGGCUAAUACCGGAUAGGAGCUCCUGCUGCGUGGUCGGGGUUGGAAAGUUUCGGCGGUUGGGGAUGGACUCGCGGCUUAUCAGCUUGUUGGUGGGGUAGUGGCUUACCAAGGCUUUGACGGGUAGCCGGCCUGAGAGGGUGACCGGCCACAUUGGGACUGAGAUACGGCCCAGACUCCUACGGGAGGCAGCAGUGGGGAAUAUUGCACAAUGGGCGGAAGCCUGAUGCAGCAACGCCGCGUGCGGGAUGACGGCCUUCGGGUUGUAAACCGCUUUCGCCUGUGACGAAGCGUGAGUGACGGUAAUGGGUAAAGAAGCACCGGCUAACUACGUG